CCUACGGGCGGCAGCAGUGGGGAAUAUUGGACAAUGGGCGAAAGCCUGAUCCAGCCAUGCCGCGUGUGUGAAGAAGGCCUUCGGGUUGUAAAGCACUUUCAGUGGGGAAGAAAGCCUUGGGGCUAAUACCCUCGAGGAAGGACAUCACCCACAGAAGAAGCACCGGCUAACUCCGUGCCAGCAGCCGCGGUAAUACGGAGGGUGCGAGCGUUAAUCGGAAUUACUGGGCGUAAAGCGCGCGUAGGCGGUCUGAUAAGCCGGUUGUGAAAGCCCCGGGCUCAACCUGGGAACGGCAUCCGGAACUGUCAGGCUAGAGUGCAGGAGAGGAAGGUAGAAUUCCCGGUGUAGCGGUGAAAUGCGUAGAGAUCGGGAGGAAUACCAGUGGCGAAGGCGGCCUUCUGGACUGACACUGACGCUGAGGUGCGAAAGCGUGGGUAGCAAACAGGAUUAGUACCCUUGUAGUC
Molecule: ribosomal RNA, 464 nt
Filed under: Vreelandella stevensii
Lineage: Bacteria; Pseudomonadati; Pseudomonadota; Gammaproteobacteria; Oceanospirillales; Halomonadaceae
Description: partial 16S ribosomal RNA
Rfam family: Bacterial small subunit ribosomal RNA
Source: RNAcentral